UUUUUUUGUUGUUGUUUUAUAGUUUUGUUUUGAAGUUCACAUUAACAAUACUAUCAAUAUUAGCUAAUUGCCAAGAAUGAUAGUGAUAAACAGAGAACAUAUAAAUUUUCCUUUAUCUUUACAGGCUUUCGGAAGCUGUGAAAGUGUAUCUGCUAUGCAGCAAGGUG
RNAcentral lists this long non-coding RNA (167 nucleotides) under Anser brachyrhynchus (Pink-footed goose). RNAcentral describes it as "lncRNA (ENSABRG00000017734.1)". Lineage: Eukaryota; Metazoa; Chordata; Aves; Anseriformes; Anatidae. The record is from RNAcentral.